AUGGCGUCCAACACCGCACCUGCGCCCGCCGCUGACGAUGAGCUGCUGCACGAGUUCGGCCCGCUGCUCCGAGUCUACAAGAGCGGCCGCCUCGAGCGCCCCCUCGUGCUCCCGCCCGUCGCGCCGGGGCUCGACCCCUCCACCGGUGUCCAGUCCAAGGACGUCGACCUCGGCGCCUACUCCGCCCGCCUCUACCUGCCCCCCACCGCCGCGACCACCACCGCGAAGCUCCCCGUCAUCGUCUACGUCCACGGCGGCGGCUUCGUGGCCGAGUCCGCAAAGUCCCCCAACUACCACCGCUUCCUCAACGACCUCGCCUCCGCCUGCCCGGCCCUCGGCGUCUCCCUCGACUACCGCCUCGCGCCGGAGCACCCGCUCCCGGCGGCGUACGACGACUGCCUCGACGCGCUCCGCUGGGUGCUCUCCGCGGCGGACCCCUGGGGGGUGGAGCUGCUGGAGACGGACGGGGAGGGCCAUGUCUUCUACCUCUUCAAGCCCGACUGCGACAAGGCCAAGGAGAUGCUCGACAGGAUCGUCGCCUUCGUUAACGCAGCACCUUGA
This 561-nucleotide ribosomal RNA is filed under the name Triticum aestivum (bread wheat). Its description in RNAcentral is "partial small subunit ribosomal RNA". The record is from RNAcentral. Lineage: Eukaryota; Viridiplantae; Streptophyta; Magnoliopsida; Poales; Poaceae.